Molecule: ribosomal RNA, 380 nt
Filed under: uncultured bacterium
Lineage: Bacteria
Description: bacterial SSU rRNA
Rfam family: Bacterial small subunit ribosomal RNA
Source: RNAcentral
GACGAACGCUGGCGGCGUGCUUAACACAUGCAAGUCGAGCGGUAAGGCCCUUUCGGGGGUACACGAGCGGCGAACGGGUGAGUAACACGUGGGUGACCUGCCCUCAGCUCUGGGAUAAGCCUGGGAAACCGGGUCUAAUACCGGAUAUGACUCCAUGACGCAUGUUGUGGGGUGGAAAGCCUUGUGCGGCUGAGGAUGGGCCCGCGGCCUAUCAGCUUGUUGGUGGGGUGAUGGCCUACCAAGGCGACGACGGGUAGCCGGCCUGAGAGGGCGACCGGCCACACUGGGACUGAGACACGGCCCAGACCCCUACGGGAGGCAGCAGUGGGGAAUCUUGCGCAAUGGGCGAAAGACCUGACGCAGCGACGCCGCGUGAGGGA